GACGAACGCUGGCGGCGUGCUUAACACAUGCAAGUCGAACGGAGUUCCUCGGAUCAAGACUUCGGUCAAGUGAACUGGAACUUAGUGGCGGACUGGUGAGUAACGCGUGAGGAACCUGCCUUUCAGAGGGGGACAACAGUUGGAAACGACUGCUAAUACCGCAUGACGCAUUCGGGUCGCAUGGCCUGAAUGCCAAAGAUUUUAUCGCUGAAAGAUGGCCUCGCGUCUGAUUAGCUAGUUGGUGAGGUAACGGCCCACCAAGGCGACGAUCAGUAGCCGGACUGAGAGGUUGACCGGCCACAUUGGGACUGAGAUACGGCCCAG
RNAcentral lists this ribosomal RNA (324 nucleotides) under uncultured bacterium. Its description in RNAcentral is "bacterial SSU rRNA". It matches the Rfam family "Bacterial small subunit ribosomal RNA", at positions 28 to 334 of the family's 1533-position model. The record is from RNAcentral.